ACACAUGUAUGUAGAACGCUGAGAGAGGAGCUUGCUCUUCUUGGAUGAGUUGCGAACGGGUGAGUAACGCGUAGGUAACCUGCCUUGUAGCGGGGGAUAACUAUUGGAAACGAUAGCUAAUACCGCAUAACAAUGGAUGACACAUGUCAUUUAUUUGAAAGGGGCAAUUGCUCCACUACAAGAUGGACCUGCGUUGUAUUAGCUAGUAGGUGAGGUAAUGGCUCACCUAGGCGACGAUACAUAGCCGACCUGAGAGGGUGAUCGGCCACACUGGGACUGAGACACGGCCCAGACUCCUACGGGAGGCAGCAGUAGGGAAUCUUCGGCAAUGGGGGCAACCCUGACCGAGCAACGCCGCGUGAGUGAAGAAGGUUUUCGGAUCGUAAAGCUCUGUUGUAAGUCAAGAACGGGUGUGAGAGUGGAAAGUUCACACUGUGACGGUAGCUUACCAGAAAGGGACGGCUAACUACGUGCCAGCAGCCGCGGUAAUACGUAGGUCCCGAGCGUUGUCCGGAUUUAUUGGGCGUAAAGCGAGCGCAGGCGGUUUGAUAAGUCUGAAGUUAAAGGCUGUGGCUCAACCAUAGUUCGCUUUGGAAACUGUCAAACUUGAGUGCAGAAGGGGAGAGUGGAAUUCCAUGUGUAGCGGUGAAAUGCGUAGAUAUAUGGAGGAACACCGGUGGCGAAAGCGGCUCUCUGGUCUGUAACUGACGCUGAGGCUCGAAAGCGUGGGGAGCGAACAGGAUUAGAUACCCUGGUAGUCCACGCCGUAAACGAUGAGUGCUAGGUGUUGGAUCCUUUCCGGGAUUCAGUGCCGCAGCUAACGCAUUAAGCACUCCGCCUGGGGAGUACGACCGCAAGGUUGAAACUCAGAGGAAUUGACGGGGGCCCGCACGAGCGGUGGAGCAUGUGGUUUAAUUCGAAGCAACGCGAAGAACCUUACCAGGUCUUGACAUCCCGAUGCUAUUUCUAGAGAUAGAAAGUUACUUCGGUACAUCGGUGACAGGUGGUGCAUGGUUGUCGUCAGCUCGUGUCGUGAGAUGUUGGGUUAAGUCCCGCAACGAGCGCAACCCCUAUUGUUAGUUGCCAUCAUUCAGUUGGGCACUCUAGCGAGACUGCCGGUAAUAAACCGGAGGAAGGUGGGGAUGACGUCAAAUCAUCAUGCCCCUUAUGACCUGGGCUACACACGUGCUACAAUGGUUGGUACAACGAGUUGCGAGUCGGUGACGGCGAGCUAAUCUCUUAAAGCCAAUCUCAGUUCGGAUUGUAGGCUGCAACUCGCCUACAUGAAGUCGGAAUCGCUAGUAAUCGCGGAUCAGCACGCCGCGGUGAAUACGUUCCCGGGCCUUGUACACACCGCCCGUCACACCACGAGAGUUUGUAACACCCGAAGUCGGUGAGGUAACCUUUUGGAGCCAGCCGCCUAAGGUGGGACAGAUGAUUGGGG
RNAcentral lists this ribosomal RNA (1444 nucleotides) under Streptococcus thermophilus. Its description in RNAcentral is "16S ribosomal RNA". It matches the Rfam family "Bacterial small subunit ribosomal RNA". Lineage: Bacteria; Bacillati; Bacillota; Bacilli; Lactobacillales; Streptococcaceae. The record is from RNAcentral.